This 393-nucleotide ribosomal RNA is filed under the name uncultured bacterium. RNAcentral describes it as "bacterial SSU rRNA". It matches the Rfam family "Bacterial small subunit ribosomal RNA", at positions 29 to 421 of the family's 1533-position model. The record is from RNAcentral.
ACGAACGCUGGCGGCGUGCUUAACACAUGCAAGUCGAGCGGUAAGGCCCUUUCGGGGGUACGACGAGCGGCGAACGGGUGAGUAACACGUGGGUGACCUGCCCUCAGCUCUGGGAUAAGCCUGGGAAACCGGGUCUAAUACCGGAUAUGACUCCAUGACGCAUGUUGUGGGGUGGAAAGACCUUGUGCGGCUGAGGAUGGGCCCGCGGCCUAUCAGCUUGUUGGUGGGGUGAUGGCCUACCAAGGCGACGACGGGUAGCCGGCCUGAGAGGGCGACCGGCCACACUGGGACUGAGACACGGCCCAGACUCCUACGGGAGGCAGCAGUGGGGAAUCUUGCGCAAUAGGCGAAAGCCUGACGCAGCGACGCCGCGUGAGGGAUGACGGCCUGUGU